This 28-nucleotide non-coding RNA is filed under the name Cricetulus griseus (Chinese hamster). The record is from RNAcentral. Lineage: Eukaryota; Metazoa; Chordata; Mammalia; Rodentia; Cricetidae.
GCUCUUGGAGGAACGGAGGACAGGCAGA